RNAcentral lists this transfer RNA (76 nucleotides) under Caudoviricetes sp. RNAcentral's name for it is "tRNA-Thr". It matches the Rfam family "tRNA". From Rfam's summary of the family: Transfer RNA (tRNA) molecules are approximately 80 nucleotides in length. Lineage: Duplodnaviria; Heunggongvirae; Uroviricota; Caudoviricetes. The record is from RNAcentral.
GCCACCAUAGCUCAACAGGCAGAGCAGCUGACUUGUAAUCAGCAGGUUGAUGGUUCGAUUCCUUCUGGUGGCUCCA